GGGCUCACACAAGCGGUGGAGCAUGUGGCUUAAUUCGAGGCAACGCGAAGAACCUUAUCCUGGGUUUGACAUGUACGGAUGGCUCGCCUGAAAGGGAUGAGUCUGCCUUCGGGUGAAACGUACACAGGUGCUGCAUGGCUGUCGUCAGCUCGUGUCGUGAGAUGUAGGGUUAAGUCCUUUAAACGAGCGUAACUCUUGUUUUUAAAAUUUACUUUUAAUUUUAAUUUGUAUUAAAAAUUUUGUUUUAAAAAGACUGUUUGUUAAUUAAAACUUGAAAGGAAGGUGAGAAUUAAGUCAAGUCACUGUGGCCCUUAUGGGUUGGGCUACACACGUGCUACAAUGAAAAUGACAAAAAGUAACAAAAAUUUUAGUUAAUCUUUAAAAAUUUUCUUAGUUCGGAUUGUAAACUGCAACUCGUUUACAUGAAGUUGGAAUCACAAGUAA
RNAcentral lists this ribosomal RNA (444 nucleotides) under uncultured bacterium. RNAcentral's name for it is "bacterial SSU rRNA". It matches the Rfam family "Bacterial small subunit ribosomal RNA", at positions 917 to 1341 of the family's 1533-position model. The record is from RNAcentral.